UGUUUUGACAAAUGUUCAAACGAAAAUUGUACAGUGGAUGAAUUAUGGGAUAUUAAUGAAAAAAGUGUUGUGUAACGUAAAAAAACUAUAUAUACAUUUGCACCAUCUCGUCUUAGCCAAACUUAUCCAUAACGAUUAUAUAAAUAAAUGAUAUCUGGGAGUCUGGAACUCAGAAAAAUAUACUGGAUCUGAACAUGAAUGAAACAUUUGCCCCUGGACGUUCGGCUACAAACAAAAUCAUGCAUUUUUCUUUGCCUUCUUCAAAUUAUAUUAACAGUAUACUAUUCCAAGAAGAGAACUUCCCAUACAUGUACUUUUUAUUUUAUUUUUAAAAUAAAGUAUAUGAAUCAGUCAUGUGAGUGUUGGAUGAUGCCAUUAAAUAGUUUUGUUUAAAAAAAAAACCAUCACAAACUACUGACUUAAACAUGUUAAAAAGUCACUUUAGCAUGUUUAAUGACGGUUCAUUAUUAUGGAUACAGAGAGGAAAAAA
This 490-nucleotide long non-coding RNA is filed under the name Mytilus galloprovincialis (Mediterranean mussel). Lineage: Eukaryota; Metazoa; Mollusca; Bivalvia; Mytilida; Mytilidae. The record is from RNAcentral.